Long non-coding RNA from Balaenoptera acutorostrata (minke whale), 528 nucleotides. RefSeq lists it as uncharacterized. Lineage: Eukaryota; Metazoa; Chordata; Mammalia; Artiodactyla; Balaenopteridae. The record is from RefSeq and is a predicted model, not a curated record. The transcript has 4 exons.
GAGGGGUACGGAGGAGGCGGGGCGAGCCUGCAGCGUCAGAGGCGUCGUGACGUUGCAGCAGCCCGAAGCGCGCCGUGCGUUCUCCCGGGUGAGAACCAGGAGAUGAAGUGACUCACCUAAGGCCACCUGGGUGCUAAAUGACAGAGCCUGGUUGCAUCACAGGCACCGAGGAAAAGCCAUGGGAGUAAACAGCAAGAAGGCGGCUGUCUACAACCAAAGGGAGAGCUCUCAUCAGACACUAACCCUACUGGCACCUUGAUCUUGGACUUCCACUCUUCAGAUCUGUGAGAAGAUAAAAAUUUAUAUUAUUUAAGCCCCCCAGUCUGUGGUAUUUUGUUAAAAGCAGCCUGAGCUGACUAACACACCGGGUGAUCCACUUGACUCUCUCCUUGUGCUCCUUUGCCACAUUUUCUGUAGCUUGCCGGUCAUUGAGUGGAGCUGUUUCUUCACGUUGAGAUGGUGAUCUCUGGGAGCGAUUCGUCAUUUGAUAUUACGUGGGGCUGAGAGGUCUCUGGUGGACCAAUGUCC